ACUGGUAGCAGCCCCUGGUAUAUCCAGGACAUCAGCACAUAGAACCAGUGAAAGGGUCCUCCCUCAUAGUGACGCAUGUCAUAGACUCAGAUUUAUACAAACAAAUGCUGAGCAAACCAUGAAGAGUCUCUGGUAUUUUCAACAAUAUCAUCACAGAGGAACUGUAUUGAUUUCCUUGCACGUUCAGGGUACUGGGAGAGGCAACAGGGAUGGAGGUCCCAUGUCAGGGGACUUCACAGUGUGACGGGAAUGUUCAACCUGCACCUGUUCCUUGCACCAUACUCCAUCCAGCUCUCCGCUCUUCCAGUCAUUUAUGCUCCUGUCUUCCGUGGAGGAAGUCUGGUAGUAUCUCCCCGGGACACUGGCUCAAAUUUCCAGCCACCUGCCCAAGACAGAUGGGACCAGGGGCCAGAUGAUGUGGACAAUGAUGAUGUCACAAAGAGAACCACAGUGAGUCUCUGAGACCUAGUUUUGGCAGAAGGAAGUACCAGAGGGAGCUGAGCUGUUGAACAUUAUGUGCGAUCAUGUAAUAACUGCAAUCGGAAGGGAAACACUCAGAGUCCUGGAGAAAGAGAAAUUCGCAUUUGUGGACGCCUGCUGGGAGCUAGGCACUUUCGAAUAGUUCCUGUCACCUAACUUAAAAUUUCAUAUUCAAAGGACAUCAUCAGCUCUCUUGUUAGAAGGGGUCCAGGCUGAACACCCUCUUUUCUCUCAAUGAUCCCAGCUAUGACACAGUUUUCUGAUCUUCAACAUCCUGGAGGCCCAAGACUAUUCAAAUAUGUCACAAAUAUCUCUAAUCACAUCUUGUGAUUAUGACUUGGAUAGAAGAUAAACAUUAUUUCCAUAAUGAUGAACAUAA
Molecule: long non-coding RNA, 859 nt
Organism: Homo sapiens (human)
Lineage: Eukaryota; Metazoa; Chordata; Mammalia; Primates; Hominidae
Product: long intergenic non-protein coding RNA 1255
Source: Ensembl